Molecule: long non-coding RNA, 1897 nt
Organism: Herpailurus yagouaroundi (jaguarundi)
Lineage: Eukaryota; Metazoa; Chordata; Mammalia; Carnivora; Felidae
Exons: 2
Source: RefSeq, a predicted model, not a curated record
ACCAGGACAUGUAGUCGUGGUCCUUGUCCUGUUCACAUCUCAGCGUCAUGCUCUGUCCUGUCCCCAGGAUCUGGAAUCUGGGGGUCUGAGUGAUGCCAGCAUUCACGGGCCCUGUGGAGGAGACAAAGCUGAUGCCACAGACACCACAGAGAGGCCUAGAGCGGGGACCUUGAGGUUUGCACUCAGGAAAGGGACGCUGCUCAGGACUCGCCUGCCUGCAGGAGACCCAGGGCCACACAGCACAGGAGGCCGAGGCUCAUGGCAGGAGCAGGGCGGACGGAGGGCUCUUCUGGGAAUGUGUGCUGAGGGACUGGGAAGGAGGCUCUCGGGGGAGUCGUUCUGAGACGUCACUCUUCCUGCCUGGGCGGAGCCAACCCUCCAGGGGGCCGCAGCCCUUCCCCAGAGGGUCUGAUAAAAAGCUCCACGUACACGUGAACAGCUUAGGAUGGGAAGAAAGGACUUGUCUGAACUGACACAAGCCUUCACUUUCUUGCGAAACAGUUUGUAACCUUAUGUAAUGUUUUCCUCCUGUGAUAGAAUUCUUCAUUGAUGCACUGGUUCUGUGUGUCUGCGUGUUUCUGUAGUGCUGAAUUGGGGAAAAAUCAUUAAGGGCUUCCCGAUGCCUUUUAUGACUUGUGCGUCCCAACUCCUCCUCCAAGUAUCCGUUUCCGCUUUGCUUAAUUGACCAGCGUCCUGUUAACGUCCUUCCAGCGACGGUUCUCCUGAUACUGGGUUUCCAAACCUCAAGGGGCCGGCUCAUCAACUCUUGGGGAACCGUUUUGCUCUGUUUCUUACCGAGUCAGGACACCUGCCAAAGGUAGCAGAGCACCCGCCUCCCUGGUUUGGGCUGAGACAGCGGCAAGCAGAAACACGUCGCACCUGUGAGUGACCUUCCCUCGUGGCAGGACGAUGGCUACUCAGUGGUGCCGAUGAUGUGUUAGCACAGAGGUAUUCACGUGUGUGAGGGACUGUGGGGAAGUGGCCACCUCCAGGCAUGACCACAUGUCUGGAGGCUCAGUGAAUCGGCAUCUCUGGGGCCUUGAGAAGGACACAGGCACUAAAGCUGGAACCCAAGGGGAGCCUGAUGUUAUAACCACAAUGUCGAGCCUUGAAUUGGGGCCAUGCAAACCCAUGAGUGGGUUUCGCGUCUAUGCCUGGGACGUCGCUGGUCUAGGAGAGAGAAGAACACACAGUGCAGAAUGGUGGCAGGCCAGAAUGGAAAGGGGGAUCUUCCAGUUCAACGCUUGUGUUUUGAGGGUUCGGCACUGGGUCCGGACAAAGGGGACCCUUCUUCCAACAUGGAAUGACCGCUCAACAAAGCCACAGUUGCCCGUGGUCUGCUCAGCCCCAGCACACAGUGUGUGAACAUGAAACCCAGCUAUGUAUGCAUCUGAUAGGAACUCAAAAUAAUGUCCUUGGAGAUGAUGAAUUUGUGUCAACACUCUGUUAUAAAAUAAUUUGAAUGAAGGGACACAUGAAAAAAAGAAAUGAAUUCAAAUGAGUAAGUACAUUUUAUAGAAACAGCUGCAAACAGCUAGAAAGAGCUUUCGGUGAUCCUUUUUUCAAACCAUCUGUCUCCAGAUAGAGUUGUCCCUGACAUGGAUCAGGUAUCUCACAUGAUUUCAAGCACUCCUUAUCCACAGAACUUUCUAGAAGCACCUCACUCUCUUGAAUAUUUAUCUGUGAAUUAUUGUAACAGGUAGAGACUUGAAAUGUCCAUUAAAAAGAUGCCUCAGCAAAAUUAAUCUAUAGCAAUAGAAAUCAUAUCACUAACUUGUCAGAGAUGGAGAGAGGUGUUUGAAAGGAGCAUGAGGGGACUUUCUGGGCGGUAGAAAUGUUCUGUAUCUUAGUAGGGUGUGUAUUACAUGGGUACAUGCAUAUAAAUUGCAAAAGAAAA